GCUGGGCAUGGUGGCAUAUGCCUAUAAACCCAGCUACUUGGGAAGCUGAGACAGGAGAAUUGCAUGUUUGAGGCCAGCUUCAGUAUCAGAGACCCUGUCUCAAGAAAUAAAACAGGAGCCGGGUUUGGAGAUGGCAGGCCUGUAAUCCCAGUGGCUCAGCUAAAGCAGGAGAAUUGCAAAUUCAAAGCCAGCCUCAGCAACUUAGUGAGGCCCUAAGCAAUUCAGCAAGACCCUGUCUCUA
RNAcentral lists this small RNA (241 nucleotides) under Marmota monax (woodchuck). The record is from RNAcentral. Lineage: Eukaryota; Metazoa; Chordata; Mammalia; Rodentia; Sciuridae.